UGGAUCGAUGAUGACUACUGGUGGCAGGCAUAUGAGUGUUACACGAUGAAUAUGUGUCUGGAACUCUGAGGUCCAU
Otolemur garnettii (small-eared galago) is the source of this 76-nucleotide small nucleolar RNA. The record is from Ensembl. Lineage: Eukaryota; Metazoa; Chordata; Mammalia; Primates; Galagidae.